UGGGUUUGACAUGUGCGUGUUACUGAGGUGAAAGCCGAGGGACCAUAUCUUCGGAUGUGGAGCGUACACAGGUGCUGCAUGGCUGUCGUCAGCUCGUGUCGUGAGAUGUUGGGUUAAGUCCCGCAACGAGCGCAACCCUGCAUUCAGUUGCCAACGGUAAGGCCGGGCACUCUGGAUGGACUGCCGGCGACAAGCCGGAGGAAGGGUGGGGAUGACGUCAAGUCAUCAUCGGCCCUUAUGUCCAGGGCGACACACGUGCUACAAUGGCCGGCACAGCGGGAAGCGAGGGGCGACCUUGAGCGGAUCCCUCAAAGCCGGUCUCAGUUCGGAUUGCAGUCUGCAACUCGACUGCAUGAAGUUGGAAUCGCUAGUAAUCGUGGAUCAGCCAAGCCGCGGUGAAUACGUUCCCGGGCCUU
Molecule: ribosomal RNA, 416 nt
Filed under: uncultured Thermovirga sp.
Lineage: Bacteria; Thermotogati; Synergistota; Synergistia; Synergistales; Thermovirgaceae
Description: bacterial SSU rRNA
Rfam family: Bacterial small subunit ribosomal RNA
Source: RNAcentral